Tympanuchus pallidicinctus (lesser prairie-chicken) is the source of this 3252-nucleotide long non-coding RNA. RefSeq lists it as uncharacterized. The record is from RefSeq and is a predicted model, not a curated record. NCBI's taxonomy places the organism in Eukaryota, Metazoa, Chordata, Aves, Galliformes, Phasianidae. The transcript has 3 exons.
AAAAAAAAAAAAAAAAAAAAAAAAAAAAAAAAAGGAAGAAAAAAAAAAAAGAGAACCCUCCAGCUACCUACAAAGGGGCUCAGGGCUUUGUAAUGGCAGAAAGAAACAAAAAUGAAAAGAAAAUUGCGGUUGAGGCUAAAGUGUGAGAGUGUGUUUGUGUGUAUGUAUAUCUGUGUGUAUUUUUAAAGGUUUCUUUGAACUGCCUUUGUGCUGAGUAGGCAGAGCUCCUUGCCAAUGCUAGUCACGGUUUAAGGAACUUUGAGUUAACCUCUUAUAUCGAAUGAAUCUUUUCAUUUGGAAACCAAUAAAUCUCAAUCUCUAGCCACCUUUUGUAGAGCAGGCUGGGGCUUACCAAGGCGAGGCUGAAGCUUAUAAUAAAGAAGAGAUAAAGUUUGCCAAAGUUUUUUUCUUUUUUCUUUUUUUUUUUUCCCCCCCUUCUUCUUCUCUUGUAAAUAAAAGUUUUGGAGAUGGCAGCAGUUGGAAGCAAUCCGGAGAAGGACUCGGAUCUGUGCAUUGUUUCACAGAUCAUCCAAAAGGAAAGAAGGUGAAAUGUGAAGCAAGGGGAGAGAAGAAUGUCCGUGUAUUGCUUUCCAGUCUGCAAUGGUCAUGGAUUUCAUUGGGAAUAACUGCUUUGCCCAGUCUGUGUCAGGUGGAGCCAGCUCUGCUUUUACACAUUAACUCCAGCUCUGGCUAAGAGAAGGAAGAUGUUCUCCUGGUACAUUUGUAGAACUGGUUUCUCUUUGCUCCAUGCAUGACCACCCAGAUGCGCGUCUCUUCCCGAGGCACUCAGCUUUGCUCUCUGCUCCAAUCUUUCUCUGUGUGCCCCAUGAAACACAGAGGAUGUAUUACUAACAGUGGUAUCUUGAUUUCAUUUAAACGUAACGGGACAAAGAGUAGGUUUGCUAGAUGGAUUUUUCAUCUAUAAACUCAUCUAUAAACUGCCUUCUGCAGUAUCACAGAACCAUUGAAUAUCCCAAGUUGGGAGAGUUCAUGAAUGAUCCAUAAGGAUCACUGAGUCUAAGUACUGGAGCACUCAAUCCAGUCUGGGUGUUUCUACACCGUUACAAGACUUACACUUUGGAUACUCUUUGGGCCUCAUCCUGACUGGGCUCCCCUUAACAAGGGAACUAAAAUGAAGAGGUAAAUGAAUUUCUUCCUGGAAGAUUGGAGCAGAAAUGCUAAGUCAUGGCCUGAAGCAGUGAUUGAGCACCUGGUAGGAAGGCAGUGCCAACCCAGUGGAGCACAGGUGCAUGCAAUGCAAUGCAAUGCAGCUGAGUGAUGAAGGGGUGGAGCCAGGAUCCACCCCUUCCUAGACCUCAUUUAAGGGCUGGAAGUGGAGGUGAGGGUCUGUUGCAGGAGGUCUUUGCAAAACUGUGAUCUUUGGAAGGUAAGUUUUUUUUGUUCUUCUUCCUCCUCUUCCUUCUCCCUCUCUCUUCUGUGCUCAAGGCUGUUGAUUUUGAGCAGAUCCUCACUUGCUGUAUCUUGGGACCUUGCUGCUCUGUUGUCAUUGCUAUGCUUUCCAUUUCCAUCCACGAAGAUGCAGUUUUUCAAUAUGUUGCACUUUAUUUAUUUUUUUUCACCCCCUGUUAUUUUUCUCGUUGGCCACAGAACCAUCUGCUGGUGUCACCAUUUCUGGUCCCUUGGAAAUUGGCCUUGCAGAGCACAAGGUCUGUCCUGGCUGAGGGCUGAAAUCUGCUGCUUGGGGUGAGGGGAAGGAGCUGGAGGAGCCCUCUGCCUACCAGGGUCAUGAGUGCAGCACUCACACCAGUCAUGUGCUGCAAGCUAUGUUUUAUUUUGUGCUGCCUGCCAGCCUCAAUUUCAACUUCUUAAAGAGGUUCCUUUGCUAUAGAAAACCACAGAGGACUACAGAUUGGGGACUGCAGUCCUAUGCAGAAUAAGGAAAGCUGAUUUAACUGUUAAAGUGUUAACAUUUCCUUGGUCUCUUUCAGAGCUUCUUCAGAAGUAAAUAGACAGAUUCUGAAACUUUUGUGUUGCUCAGGACCCUAAAAUCUCAGAUCCUUAAAUCCCGGGUAGGACUGUAAGGCACCAGAGUGCUGUGAGGAGUGGGUACCAGCACUGGAGGACAAAGACUGCAGUAGAAGAGGUGGCUGAGCAGAGGAUCCAAACUGGCGCUGUUGAUGAAGAAGAAACUGGGAUACAGUCAGGAAGAAUGGCAUGAAAAAAGGCACGUGAGCAUCUGGAAAGGGAGGUUAAGAAGUGUGACCUUACUGUAGGAUGGAAGAAAAAGACAUGUAGAAGAUGUCUGGAAGAAGGGCACAGUGUGCUGAGAGAAGUGAUUUGCUGCUUGGGCUUGGUCUGGGUGACAGAUGGGAGGCUGCAGUGAGGAAAGAGACACAGAAGGGAGAAGGGGCCAGCAGCAGAGUGAGUGGGACCUUGGGUGGGCAGUAGAGGAGAGGUGAGAGGCAGUACCAUUUGGGGGAGAGGGGGAUGACUGCCAGCUCUCCUGAGUGAUGGGAUGGCAUUGUCAGCAGUGAGGUUGUCAGGGAUGGCAGGUGACAAGGUGUGGGCAAUAUGGAGCAGAAAGAGCUCCUCCCUCACUGCUGAUGUGGGAGGGGUGAGCUCAGUUUUGUUCUCUCAGUGCAGUUUCUCAAAAUCCAGGGCCAUCUGGACACGGUCCUGUCCCUCACACAAGCUGUUGCCCAGGGAUUGCUCUGGCAGCCAUGACUGGCUGGCAUGUCCAGGAGUCUGUGUUCACAGCCAGAAGGGCAGAUGGCACAGGAUUCACUACAGUGGCUUUGCAGCACCUGGUGUCACCAUUUGGGGGUGUGGGGUCCGGUGGAGCCAGGUGAGCCUUGCUGUGUGCACUGCAGUGUCAUUCAAUUGAGUUCCACAGGGCUGCUCUGCCAUGCUGACCCAGCAAGCUCCCAGUCACUUUCAGUAUCACUGGUGCAAACAUUUGGGAUGGAUAUGCUCCUCUCCAGCUGGCUUUGUGGUGUUGGGCUGUUCCAAAGAUCUGCCUGAGGUAAGGGAGGACAGUGGCACUCAGCUGACAUCACUUCAGCAAUGUGUUUGCAGUGACUGAUGUCUUCAGCUCACUGCCAUUGGUGCUCUGGGUUGCUCAAGAAAUGGGUAUGAAGAAGAGACACCGAAAACUGUGAUCACUCUGCUCACAUGCCUACACACUAGGGUUGUUUUGUUCAAGGAAUGUUUUAUUAGCAUUUCACCAUCCCAGUAACAAUGCUUUUUUUUUUUUAAUAGCAUUUGUGAUAUGGAAUUUGUCAAAAAUUAAAA